UAGGGAAUUUUCCACAAUGGGCGAGAGCCUGAUGGAGCAACGCCGCGUGCAGGAUGAAUGCCUUCGGGUUGUAAACUGCUUUUAUGUGCGAAGAAUUUGACUGUAACACAUGAAUAAGGAUCGGCUAACUACGUGCCAGCAGCCGCGGUCAUACGUAGGAUCCAAGCGUUAUCCGGAAUUACUGGGCGUAAAGAGUUGCGUAGGUGGAUUGUUAAGUGGGGCGUGAAAGUGUACGGCUCAACCGUAUUAUUGCGUUCCAAACUGGCAAACUAGAGUGCGAGAGAGGUAGAUGGAAUUCCCAGUGUAGGAGUGAAAUCCGUAGAUAUUGGGAGGAACACCGAUGGCGUAGGCAGUCUACUGGCUCGUUACUGACACUAAGGCACGAAAGCGUGGGGAGCAAACGGG
Molecule: ribosomal RNA, 405 nt
Filed under: uncultured bacterium
Lineage: Bacteria
Description: bacterial SSU rRNA
Rfam family: Bacterial small subunit ribosomal RNA
Source: RNAcentral